ACAAGUUAAGUUAAUGUGGAAGUCAUUAGGCCCAUUUAAUAACUUGCCAUGGGCCCAAUAAUAUUCCUGACGCUUUAUGGAUCAACAUUACUAGUAGUACCAGGUUCCCAUGUACCAUGAAGAAGUUGGAUGCUACCAACCAAAAUAAGAAGUUGAAGGCCCAGUGAGAUUGGGUUAAUAGUUCGAUUUUAGAAAGCAAAAUCCAGGAAUCUAUCAAUUACCAAUGUACUUUGGGAGCGGAUGAGCGGGAUGGUCAGCGGG
This 261-nucleotide long non-coding RNA is filed under the name Elaeis guineensis (African oil palm). RNAcentral's name for it is "long non-coding RNA (EGUI_LNC006794)". The record is from RNAcentral. Lineage: Eukaryota; Viridiplantae; Streptophyta; Magnoliopsida; Arecales; Arecaceae.